CUUUUUUUUUUUUUGGGGGGGGGGGGGGGGGAAGAGUUUGGCACUGAAGGUCUUUUUUUCUCCCGGAGCCUCUCUUUCUGGAAUGGGGACGCGCCUGAGGUUUCCACUAAGAACCGGGUGAUCAGUGUUGUGGAUUAGCCUUCCGAAGAAAUGGAAUCUGCUAUAGCGGAGACCGCAAGUGGGUUUCCCAGGGCAGGAAGUGACAGCAAGGAAGAGGGGCAGAACAGCCCUGCCGACCCACCUCCUGCUCCAGAUACCUCUGUGUCAUUUUCAGAAAUGCUUCACCUGAUCCAGACUGGACAGGACAUCCCUGGACUCCAGAAGUUAAAUAUCUCUGCCACGAAUGGGAGUCCAACACCAUCACAGAUGACUCAGAAACCCAAGCCUUGGGAGACAAAAGCUUGACCAAGUGGUGGAGUUGGAAACUUGAAUGAGAGAUUUAGCACUCUAUUGGAUAUUAAAUAAAUAUCUUGGCCUUUCAGUUCUAAAAUGAUUGAGGGUACUGUUAAAAAUAACAGUUUGUUUCAGUGAAAGCCAAUAUCCAAAGAUGAUUUCUGUGUUGUUAUAUAUUCAUACCUGCAUGUGUGUCUUUCACAUUCUUUUGCUAGAUAUAGGUGAGGCAAGGAACUUAAAAGUUUCUACUCUUAACUGGGCUCAAAUUUCUCACUUAUCAUAAGGUGGUUUGUUUAGUUUUGGCUUAAUGUGGUGUGUGAAGUAAAAUGAAUCACAUAUUUCACAGACCGUGGCUUAUGAAAAUAAUUGAAAUACAUAGAAUUAAACAUAACUGUAAAUAUUUGGGUUUUAGUUUGGUCUCAAAAUACAAGA
Pseudonaja textilis is the source of this 825-nucleotide long non-coding RNA. RefSeq lists it as uncharacterized. The record is from RefSeq and is a predicted model, not a curated record. Lineage: Eukaryota; Metazoa; Chordata; Lepidosauria; Squamata; Elapidae.